GCUGAUAUAGCUCAACUGGGAGAGCACAUGCCUUACAAGCAUGGGGUUACAGGUUCGAGUCCUGUUAUCAGCA
RNAcentral lists this transfer RNA (73 nucleotides) under Agathobacter rectalis. RNAcentral describes it as "tRNA-Val". It matches the Rfam family "tRNA". Rfam says of the family: Transfer RNA (tRNA) molecules are approximately 80 nucleotides in length. Their secondary structure includes four short double-helical elements and three loops (D, anti-codon, and T loops). RNAcentral also lists the same sequence under 1 other name. The record is from RNAcentral. Lineage: Bacteria; Bacillati; Bacillota; Clostridia; Lachnospirales; Lachnospiraceae.